GCAGCUGAGCCUCGCCGCUGCGGGGUCCUGAGCGGCCCCCCUCUCUCAUCCGCGCUGCAUCAGGCAGAGCGCUAACGGAGCACGUGCCCAAACCCCCUGCUCUCGGAACUGUAAGUGCACAGGAGCAGUGGACUCCAAAGCAUGGCAGGAACCGAAGCACGCCUUGGCUAGGCCAAGGAAGAAAGAAAGUACACAUAUCCUACCCACCCACUCACAGAUUCUGAAGAGUACCUGACGGUCAUUUUUUGGAGCCAUCACGAAAAAGACUGGACAAGCAAGAAACACACAUGAAGAAUUUGGGAGUAAAGAACCAGGAUGGAUAUAACUCACCUCCAAAGAGAGGAAGGGAGAGGGAUAGAGAGUUAGAAACAUCGAUGAGGGAGGAACAUCGAUCAGCUGCCUCCUGCACACCCCCUACUGGGGAUGUGUCUGCAACCAAGGUACAUGCCCUUGACCGGAAUCGAACCUGGGACCCUUCAGUCCGCAGGCCGAGGCUCUAUCCACUGAGCCAAACCGGUUUUGGCUGUGUUUGUGUUUUGUUUUCCAACAUAGGGACUCAAUAAUGAAGCACAAGAGAUAAUGUUAGCCAUAGCUGCAUCUGGAUGUU
Molecule: long non-coding RNA, 607 nt
Organism: Eptesicus fuscus (big brown bat)
Lineage: Eukaryota; Metazoa; Chordata; Mammalia; Chiroptera; Vespertilionidae
Exons: 4
Source: RefSeq, a predicted model, not a curated record